UGUAUCAAUCUAAGUUAUAGUUUUUACAUAUUUUGAAUCAUAAAAUUGUGGCUUCAAAGUUGGUGGAUUUGACAUAAAGUUUAAUGCAGAGAUGAGUUCAGAAGUGGUAGUUCUUUAUAGCCAGUAGGAAGGGUUAUUUCUUCCUCAGUUGGAGUUUUGCCAUAUUAGGAGAUAAUGUGAAAAAGAGGUUUUUUUAGGGGAAAAACAUGCUUUUAAAGAUUUUCAUCACAUUACUCAGCACUUAAUUCAGUUAUCCUAACAAAUAGCUAUUGAACUUAUUUAGCAAAGUUCUCCAUAGCAUCAUUUUAUAAUGAAUAUGUACUUUUAACUUUUUAAUUUCCUGAUAGCCACUUUGGGAAUCCCAGUCUCAAAUUGAAGCAUAUUGCCAGCAAAACAGUAAACAAUUACUUUUGAAGAUUUUCAUGACUUGCAAGUGUUUUCUGGUUUUGUUUUGUUUUUCAGAAUUUUUUUCCAGAGAAGUAUAUCAGAGAACUCCCUGGUAGYAAUGGACUUCUCAGGUCAGAAAAGCAGAGUUAUAGAAAAAUCCCACCUAAGCUCUUUCAGUUGCAGUUGAAGAAGGACUCGCUUGGAGGGUACUCAUAAUUUCACUUUCUUGAAAGAAUUUUUAAUUUCAGUUUGUUUCACCCCCAUUCCUUGCUCAGAAAAAAAGGAUGUUUGCACCUGGGCAGUCACAGUAGACCCACUGCCUCCUCACAGACCUCUGCCACAAACAUGGCCAUCCAUCGGUCCCAGCCAUGGUUUCACCACAAGAUUUCCAGAGAUGAAGCUCAGUGAUUGAUUAUUUAGCAAGGACUUUUAAUGGGUAAGUUUGAUACUUUUAGUGUUGAGUAGAAUUUGGGUUUGGAUUUUGGAUUUGGUUUGGAUUUUGCCAGUAAAUAAUAAUCAUUUAUUCAGUGGACACCAAGUGUUUUUAAUUUUGGCUUAUCAUAACACAGAAAUGACUUUGUUCUGUAAGAGUGGCUAUCACUGAAUUCUAGCAAUAUCUGUAUAAUACCCAGUACACAGAGUGUGCUUAGUAUUUGUGUAUAAAUUAACAGAGAAGAGAAUAGUAUUCUUUGUUCUUGACUAAGAGCACUAAUGUUAUCCAUUCUGUGCCAAUUCUAGCAUUUUAGAUAUUAAUUCAU
This 1145-nucleotide long non-coding RNA is filed under the name Urocitellus parryii (Arctic ground squirrel). Its description in RNAcentral is "lncRNA (ENSUPAG00010006931.1)". The record is from RNAcentral. Lineage: Eukaryota; Metazoa; Chordata; Mammalia; Rodentia; Sciuridae.